RNAcentral lists this ribosomal RNA (494 nucleotides) under uncultured bacterium. RNAcentral's name for it is "partial 16S ribosomal RNA". It matches the Rfam family "Bacterial small subunit ribosomal RNA", at positions 28 to 507 of the family's 1533-position model. The record is from RNAcentral.
GACGAACGCUGGCGGCGUGCUUAACACAUGCAAGUCGAACGGAAAGGCCUGCUUUCCCUUGUGGAUUGCGGGUACUCGAGUGGCGAACGGGUGAGUAACACGUGAGUGAUCUGCCCCCAACUUGGGUAUAAGCCUGGGAAACUGGGUCUAAUUCCCGAUAGGACUGCAGGGUGGUUCCUGUGGUGGAAAACGAUUUUCUAGUGGUUGGGGAUGAGCUCGCGGCCUAUCAGCUUGUUGGUGGGGUAAUGGCCUACCAAGGCGGCGACGGGUAGCCGGCCUGAGAGGGUGGACGGCCACAUUGGGACUGAGAUACGGCCCAGACGCCUACGGGAGGCAGCAGUGGGGAAUAUUGCACAAUGGGCGGAAGCCUGAUGCAGCGACGCCGCGUGGGGGAUGACGGCCUUCGGGUUGUAAACUCCUUUCGACCGCGAGGAAGCCACCUGGUUGGAAGGGUGGUGACGGUAGUGGUAGAAGAAGCACCGGCUAACUACGUG